UGCGGGGUGGAGCAGCGGCAGCUCGUCUGGCUCAUAACCAGAAGGUCGGGGGUUCGAGUCCCUUCCACCGCAACCA
This 76-nucleotide transfer RNA is filed under the name Bradyrhizobium sp. 41S5. RNAcentral describes it as "tRNA-Met". It matches the Rfam family "tRNA". Rfam says of the family: Transfer RNA (tRNA) molecules are approximately 80 nucleotides in length. Their secondary structure includes four short double-helical elements and three loops (D, anti-codon, and T loops). Lineage: Bacteria; Pseudomonadati; Pseudomonadota; Alphaproteobacteria; Hyphomicrobiales; Nitrobacteraceae. The record is from RNAcentral.